Molecule: unclassified non-coding RNA, 240 nt
Filed under: soil metagenome
Description: partial contains 5.8S ribosomal RNA, internal transcribed spacer 2, and large subunit ribosomal RNA
Source: RNAcentral
AACCUAGCACACCUGCGGUGUGUACCUGCGGAGGGAUCAUUACACAGUACAAUAUGAAGGCUGUCCGCAGCUGGAGUAUUUUAUUACCCUUGUCUUUUGCGCACUUGUUGUUUCCUGGGCGGGUUCGCUCGCCACCAGGACCACCAAAUAAACCUUUUUUAUGCAGUUGCAAUCAGCGUCAGUACAAACAAUGUAAAUCAUUUACAACUUUCAACAACGGAUCUCAGAUCGGAAGAGCAC